GGCGGGCCAAAAAAAAAAGUAUUGCCUACUGGAAGAAGGCGGGUGAAGGGGCGGAGCCUCUUCAGGGGUGAGAAGCAGAGAAUCGAUGGAAUCGACCUCUCCAGCCUCCUGGUGUCCUGUGAACUCCAGGAUGAUGGGAACUCCACUGGAGAUGGUGCCAAGGCCAGCAUCAAAAAAGGACUUUUGCUGGAGCCCGAGCCGGCACAGGGGUAGCCACGCUGGCCUGAGAAUGAAUCACAGCUGGAUGGAAGAACACCAGCAUUUCAAAACUCAGAUUCUAAUGAAUCCUGGGUUGUAGCUCAUCAGGGUCUCACUGUUUUGAGGAAGACGUUAAGUUUCUACCCAACAGCUGUAUCUGAGCAUUCCAGUAAGAUGAUUAACAACUACAUUCCAAGCAUAAUACUGGGCUUCAUGCCCACUUGAUGCCAAGGUAGCAACCAACAGCUCAAAUCCAAAUUCUUUAUAAAUUUAGUCCCAGGGAGGGAAAAUAGAAAUAAAAUA
This is a long non-coding RNA of Leopardus geoffroyi (Geoffroy's cat), 501 nucleotides long. RefSeq lists it as uncharacterized. The record is from RefSeq and is a predicted model, not a curated record. Lineage: Eukaryota; Metazoa; Chordata; Mammalia; Carnivora; Felidae. The transcript has 3 exons.